RNAcentral lists this ribosomal RNA (496 nucleotides) under uncultured fungus. Its description in RNAcentral is "eukaryotic LSU rRNA". It matches the Rfam family "Eukaryotic large subunit ribosomal RNA", at positions 40 to 527 of the family's 3401-position model. Lineage: Eukaryota; Fungi. The record is from RNAcentral.
AUAUUACUAAGCGGAGGAAAAGAAAUCAACGAAGAUUGCCUCAGUAGCGGCGAGUGAAGCGGCAAGAGCUCAAGUUUAGAAUCUGUGGCCGCCUCGGUCACCGAAUUGUAAUCUAAAGGGGCUAACAAAAGUGGAAGUAGAGGUAUAAGUUCCUUGGAAAAGGACGUCAAAGAGGGUGAAAACCCCGUAUGUAGCCUCUACUGAAGCGAAUGUUGACCUUCUGAGAGUCGGGUUGUUUGGGAUUGCAGCCCUAAAUGGGAGAUAAACUUCUUCUAAGGCUAAAUAUUUAUGGGAAACCGAUAGCGAACAAGUACUGUGAAGGAAAGGUGAAAAGAACUUUGAAAAGAGGGUUAAAAGACUUGAAAUCGUUGAGAAGGAAGCGGUAAAAGUGGAUUUAAGUUAGUUAUGAAGCAAGUCAUGUAUGGAACCAGCUCGUAGUAGGUAUGUACGUCAUUGGCUAACUGCUACGAAGUAAUGGCACAUUAUGGCGAUUUCA